RNAcentral lists this ribosomal RNA (109 nucleotides) under Prolemur simus (greater bamboo lemur). Lineage: Eukaryota; Metazoa; Chordata; Mammalia; Primates; Lemuridae. The record is from RNAcentral.
GUCUAUGACCAUAGCACCCUGAACAUGCCUAAUCUCGUCUGAUCUCGGAAGCUAAGCAGGGUUGGACCUGGUUAGUACUUGGAAGAGAGAAAAGCCAAAAAAAAAGAAA